UAUCAGUAAGCGGAGGAAAAGAAACUAACCAGGAUUCUCCUAGUAACGGCGAGUGAACGGAGAUUAGCCCAGCACCGAAGCCUACUGUCAUGUGGCAGAAGGGCAAUGUGGUGUUUAGACUGGUAUCUGAGGCGGCUGGGUAGCUCGAAGUCCAUCUUUGAAUGUGGCUUGAAUUUGACCAGAGCGGGUGGAAGUCCCGUCCCGGGUUACCCUCCAGUUUUGAUUGUCGCCUUUAGAUAUGCCGGUCUUGGAGUCGGAUUGCUUGAGAAUGCAGUCCUAAGUGGGUGGUAAACUCCAUCCAAGGCUAAAUACCUGCACGAGUCCGAUAGCGAACAAGUACCGUGAGGGAAAGUUGAAAAGUACUCUGAAGAGAGAGUAAAUAGUACGUGAAACCACUCGUAUGGAAGCGGAUGGAGUCCAGCUGCGAACUGCUUGGAUUAAGUCGGCGUGAUAGUGUUUGUUCUCGCCUCACGUGGUUGGCUUGUAAAGGGCUAGACGGACUUGUCCGUUUGGUGUCUUGACAGGUUAGUUGUCAUUCUGCCGCGUGAGUAUAAAGCGUGUACACGCCGAUGUGUUUCCUUGCGGUUAGCAUCACAAUCGAUAACGCUGCCAGUCUGCGGCUGUCUAACUCAAUUUGAUUGGCCUCGAAGUCGAUCGGGUUGAGGAGGGCAGGUUGCCGUAUCAUAGUUUCGGCUGUGGUUAUGGUGCAAGAAGGCUUUGGCCGGCUGAUGGCCGUGUUAAGCAUUCAACUGUGCGGUAUAUCGGGUGUAGCGCAGAUUGUGUUUGUUGCGUCUUGGGUGCGGGUGAUGGGGUGUGUCGUGUAACAGCGUCCGUUCUGUCCUUCCGUAUUCGGGGUGUGAUGAUGCGGUCUGUGUGAAUUGUGGUGUUGUGGUAGACUUUCCAUCUGA
This 908-nucleotide ribosomal RNA is filed under the name Anoplodiscus cirrusspiralis. RNAcentral's name for it is "eukaryotic LSU rRNA". It matches the Rfam family "Eukaryotic large subunit ribosomal RNA", at positions 41 to 647 of the family's 3401-position model. Lineage: Eukaryota; Metazoa; Platyhelminthes; Monogenea; Gyrodactylidea; Anoplodiscidae. The record is from RNAcentral.